GAUGAACGCUAGCGGCAGGCCUAAUACAUGCAAGUCGAACGAGAUUAAGAGGCUUGCUUCUUAUGAAAGUGGCGCACGGGUGCGUAACGCGUAUGCAACCUACCUUAAUCAGGGGGAUAGCCCGAAGAAAUUCGGAUUAAGACCGCAUAAAAACACAGGAUAGCAUUAUCCAAUGUUCAAAUAUUUAUAGGAUUAAGAUGGGUAUGCGUGUCAUUAGCUAGUUGGCGGGGUAACGGCCCACCAAGGCGACGAUGACUAGGGGAUCUGAGAGGAUGACCCCCCACACUGGUACUGAGACACGGACCAGACUCCUACGGGAGCAGCAGUAAGGAUAUUGGUCAAUGGAGGGAACUCUGAACCAGCCAUGCCGCGUGCAGGAGACAGCCCUCUGGGUCGUAAACUGCUUUUGUCAGGGAGAAUCCUUUGGGCUAAUAACUCGGAGGGAUGACGGUACCUGAAGAUAAGCACCGGCUAACUACGUGCCAGCAGCCGCCG
RNAcentral lists this ribosomal RNA (495 nucleotides) under uncultured bacterium. RNAcentral's name for it is "bacterial SSU rRNA". It matches the Rfam family "Bacterial small subunit ribosomal RNA", at positions 28 to 520 of the family's 1533-position model. The record is from RNAcentral.